This 330-nucleotide ribosomal RNA is filed under the name uncultured eukaryote. RNAcentral's name for it is "partial 18S ribosomal RNA". It matches the Rfam family "Eukaryotic small subunit ribosomal RNA", at positions 1470 to 1796 of the family's 1831-position model. The record is from RNAcentral.
CCCCUAGAUGUCCUGGGCCGCACGCGCAAUACAAUGUAAAGUUCAGAAAGCAUAUCCUGUUCCGGAAGGCAAUGGGUAAUCUUUUCAAUAUUUUGCGUGUUAGGGAUCGAUCUUUGCAAUUAUAGAUCUUGAACGAGGAAUACCUAGUAAGCGCGAGUCAUCAGCUCGCGCUGAUUACGUCCCUGCCCUUUGUACACACCGCCCGUCGCUACUACAGAGUGCCCGUGUCCAAGAAACGGUCGGACCUGUGCGGCCUCUCCGGGCGACCGGAGGGCCGUUACGGGGAAGACCCUUUAUUUGACGCGGGUCGAUGAAGUAAAAGUCGUAACA